CUUCAUGAAAGUAAAUAGAUGAGGCUGAUUGCCCCGAAGUCACUUCCUCGUUGACUUGGUUCAGGGCUCAGUUCAGCGCUCCCUGAACUGUCUGAGGAGCUGGAGUUGCUCCCUCCGCAGGCGCGUUUCUGUCUGCAGGUUUAUCCUGUUCAGUAGGUCAGGGUUUGUUACUGACAACCAUGACCUGCUGUGAGCCCUUCUGCGAGUGUGGAGCUGGGGGGCAGGAAGGGCAGCCUUAGCUGUGCCGACGCUUCGUCCUGUCAGGGCAUUUGCACGCCAAAGGCAAAGAAGAAAAAAUGUCCAAAUCAUUAAAGAACUACAUUACUAUUAAGGACUUUCUGAAGACCUUUUCCCCCGAUGUCUUCCGGUUCUUCUGCCUGCGGAGCAGCUACCGCUCAGCCAUCGACUACAGUGACAGCGCCAUGCUCCAAGCUCAGCAGCUGCUCCUGGGGCUGGGCUCUUUCCUGGAGGAUGCACGUGCCUACAUGAAGGGGCAGCUGGCCUGCGGCUCCGUCAGGGAAGCGAUGCUGUGGGAGAGGUAAGAGGCCCGCCUAGCACCCGGCGUGGCACCCCUCCUGUGGCCUGCUGGGUGCUGCUGGUGGGCUCCUGAAGGGGAAGAGGGGCCCCCAGGAGACAGGGCGCUGGACAGGAGGUGUGGGGUCAGGGACUGCCCAGAGAGGCCCCAGGAGACAGGGUGCUGGGCAGGAGGUGCAGGUGUGGGGUCAGGGGCUCCC
RNAcentral lists this small RNA (734 nucleotides) under Pan troglodytes (chimpanzee). RNAcentral's name for it is "retained intron". The record is from RNAcentral. Lineage: Eukaryota; Metazoa; Chordata; Mammalia; Primates; Hominidae.